RNAcentral lists this ribosomal RNA (430 nucleotides) under uncultured bacterium. Its description in RNAcentral is "partial 16S ribosomal RNA". It matches the Rfam family "Bacterial small subunit ribosomal RNA", at positions 29 to 507 of the family's 1533-position model. The record is from RNAcentral.
GCGAACGCUGGCGGCAGGCUUAACACCUGCAAGUCGAGCGCCCCGCAAGGGGAGCGGCAGACGGGAGAGUAACACGUGGGAACAUACCUUUUGGUUCGGAACAACUGAGGGAAACUUCAGCUAAUACCGGAUAAGCCCUUACGGGGAAAGAUUUAUCGCCGAAAGAUUGGCCCGCGUCUGAUUAGCUAGUUGGUGAGGUAACGGCUCACCAAGGCGACGAUCAGUAGCUGGUCUGAGAGGAUGAUCAGCCUCACUGGGACUGAGACACGGCCCAGACUCCUACGGGAAGCAGCAGUGGGGAAUAUUGGACAAUGGGGGCAACCCUGAUCCAGCCAUGCCGCGUGAGUGAUGAAGGCCUUAGGGUUGUAAAGCUCUUUUGCCCGGGAAGAUAAUGACGGUACCGGGAGAAUAAGCCCCGGCUAACUUCGUG